Cavia porcellus (domestic guinea pig) is the source of this 11493-nucleotide RNA transcript. It is a transcript of the gene named amidohydrolase domain containing 2, with no coding region annotated. The record is from RefSeq and is a predicted model, not a curated record. Lineage: Eukaryota; Metazoa; Chordata; Mammalia; Rodentia; Caviidae. The transcript is spliced from 11 exons.
CGUGGAGCCGCCGCCGUCAGCUGACAGUCACGUGGUACGGACUGCUUGAGCUGCUUCCUGAACGCUGCGGAUCCGGCGUUGCCGGCUCAGGCGCCUCAAGAUGCGCGGUGGGCAAGUCGCGGAGCGGGCAGCGGUGCUCCAGUUCACAAACUGCCGCAUCCUGCGCGGUGGCAUGUUACUCAGGGAGGACUUAUGGGUGCGUGGGGGUCGUGUCCUGGAUCCUGAAAAGCUGUUCUUUGAGGAGCGCCGAGUGGCCGAUGAGCAGCGGGACUGUAGAGGCUGCAUCUUGGCCCCGGGCUUCAUCGACGUGCAGAUGAACGGUGGAUUUGGUGUUGACUUCUCCAGGGCCACGGAGGACGUGGGUUCAGGUGUCGCCCUGGUAGCCCAAAGGAUCCUGUCCCACGGUGUCACCUCCUUCUGCCCCACCCUGGUCACUUCCCCACCCGAGGUUUACCAUAAGGUCCUUCCUCAGAUCCCUAUGAAGAGUGGUGGUCCUCAUGGGGCAGGGGUCCUCGGAGUACACUUGGAGGGCCCGUUCAUCAGCCCAGAAAAGCGGGGUGCACAUCCCGAGGCCCACAUCCGCUCUUUUGAGGUCAAUGCCUUCCAUGAUUUGCUGGCUACCUAUGGGUCCUUGGACAACGUCCGUAUUGUGACGCUAGCCCCUGAGCUGGGCCGCAGCCAUGAAGUGAUCAAGGCACUAACAGCUCAGGACAUCUGCGUGUCCCUAGGGCACUCAGUGGCCCACCUGCAGGCUGCAGAGGAAGCAGUACAGAGUGGGGCCACCUUCAUUACCCACCUCUUCAAUGCCAUGCUGCCUUUCCACCACCGUGACCCAGGCAUCGUGGGGCUUCUGACCAGUGACCAACUACCCCCAGGCCAGUGCAUCUUCUAUGGGAUGAUCGCUGAUGGCAUACAUACCAACCCUGCUGCCCUGAGGAUUGCCCACCGGGCCCAUCCCCAGGGACUGGUACUUAUCACUGAUGCUGUCCCUGCGCUGGGCCUGGGCAAUGGCCGUCACACCUUGGGACAGAUGGAGGUGGAAGUGGAUGGGCUGAUGGCCUGCAUUGCAGGCACCAAGACACUGUGUGGCAGCAUAGCCCCAAUGGAUGUGUGUGUCCGACAUUUUCUACAGGCCACAGAGACCAGGCCUGUCCCACUUUGACUCUGGGCCCUAAAACGGGACUCCGCUGUGCAUGGGGCAGUGGCCAUGGGCUAUUGCCAAGCUGUGUACCUGAUCAGGCUGCAGUGUGGAGGCGGCCCUGGAGGCUGCAUCCCUGCAUCCCGCCCAGCUGCUGGGGCUGGAGAAGAGGAAGGGGACUCUGGACUUUGGUGCUGAUGCAGGCUUAAUUGCCUGGGAGUGACUUCAUUUGCAGGGUAUAAGGUCCCUUCCCAACACCUCUCACCCUCUGGCUCUGCCCCAGACUUUGUGGUGCUCGACGACAGCCUCCAUGUCCAGGCCACCUACAUCUCAGGUGAGCUGGUGUGGCAGGCAGAGGAAGCCAGGCCAUGACCUCAGACCUCGGCUGGAGAGGACGCCUGGCCAGCCCCAGCUGGACACUGAUCGGGCGGGCAUCUUCGGGAGCUGGUCUCCAGGGAACAAGUUGGGAGCCCCCAUGCCAGAUCGACAUUCAUAGACCAGAGCUAGCAGCCACCCUGGAGGUGAUGGCUUGCAUAAAUGAGCAGCAGGAUUUGCCUUGUCUCUGGGUUUUGCUUAUACUUCAUUUGGGGCAUCGGGGGAAAGUGUUCAUGGCUUGGGGCAAAAACAGUUGGAUUCCUCAGGGGGUCUGUUAGGCCUAAUUUGCCUGAAGCCACAGGAAAAUCUUCAGAGCCAGGAGUGGUGGUGGACGCCUGUAAUCCCAGCAUUCAGGAGGCUGAGACAGGAAGGUUGCUGCAACUUUGAGACCAGCCUUGGCUACAUAGUGAGUUUAAGGCCAGCCUGGACUACAUAGUGAUACCUUCUCUAAAAAGAAAAAAAAAAAAAAAAAAAUCAAAAGGAAAAUGUUAAGACUUGAGUGGAGGGAGGGGGAGAUUCAUCCCAGUGAGAUAGGAUAGAUGGAAACCAUUCAUUGGUUGGCAUGCUGCACAAUGGGGCUAUUUUUUUUUUUUUUUUUUGUCUUUUUCCUUUUUAUCAGUACCAGGGAUCGAACUCAAGACUGCCUGCUUGCAAGGCAGGCGCUUAUGCCGCUGAGCUAAAUCCCCAGCCCCCUCAAAGGGGCUAUUGACUAUGAUGAUAAGUAGCUUCAGAAGUUUGCUCACUGCCUCUGAGAUGGCUGGGCAGGUUGAAAGCCCAUGGCCUGAUUCUGGGUUUGGGCACCUCUCCAGGAACUCUGCAUUGCAGGAGGGAGUCCACAGUGGGUUUUGGAUCCCAGGUCACCCAGGGCUGAGUGCAGGAGUCUGUGGCCUACGGGCCUGCAGCUUGGUCCUGGAAUAUCUGGACACUGCUUUCUAGAUUGCCUGGCUUGCCUGCCCUUCAGUUACACCCUCUAGCACCCUUUUGGGUAAUCUAGGUUCAUUUUCUUUUGUUUUUUUUUUAUCGGUACCAGGAAUCGAACUCUCGACUGCGUGCUUGCAAGGCAGGUGCUUAUGCUGCUGAGUUAAAUCCCCAGCCCUAGGUUCAUUUUCUUUGAUGUUGUUUUUCAACAGUCCCUUCUCCUGACCUAAUCUUUGCAUGUGACAAGCUUGCCUCACGUGGUAUUUGGUGGCUACUUUGUCUGGUGCUGCAGUCUCACAGUCUCACAAUUGCCUCAGACCCUGAAACUCUGAAUUUGCCCCCUGGAAGUAAUGGCAGUUCUCCUGCUUCAACCUCCUGAGUACUGGGAUUGUAGGUGUAUGCCACCAUGCCUGGUGCCAUUAUUGUCUUGGGCCGUGCACCCUAGGCUGGCUUCUCCCUACUUGGAGAGUAUGAGCUGUCAGUUGGCAGAUUUCACUGCUCUCUUGGAUCUGAUGAUGGUUUUUGACAUGAAGGUCAAAUGCCAGAUCUGAAAAUGGUGUCUUAACACUCCCCUUUUGGGAAUACAGUAAAAUAGUUUUACCUAUACAAUAUGGUAAAACUGUUUCUUGGUGCAGGAAAUUGCUGACAUGUCGCAGGACGUUUUGAAGGUGGCUCCCAUCAAAGGAGAUGUGUCCAGAUCCAAAGCAAUAAAAAUGGUCUCUGAUCUCAUGUUUGAGGACUAAUAGCAUGAGAAGGGCAACUGUUGGGGAAGGGGUCAUUCACAGGGGCACAUGGGGAUAGGUCUUGGCCCACAUGCCUUUGAAUAUACACUGUCAGCCCAAGACAAUAAGCAUGGGGAUUCCUGGGUCUGCCCAUGGACUCAUGCCUUCUGUGUGGCUGACAAGCCCCUAUAGGGUGCCUGGUGCCAAAGACAGACACAAAUGUGGGCCAGGCAGACCUCACUCCAGAUGCUUAAUGAGAGUUAACUCCACCUUUCUGCCAAAAACUCAGAGUGAGGUCCUAUUUGUUAUCCCGACUUUUAGUGCACUAUCAGAGGAGCUGCCAGAUGGGAGGUCAAUAGCAGUGGGAAGUUGGUGCUGGGACUGAAUUACAUAUCAAUAAACUUUUACAAGCCCAGAGGCUCAGAGCUUGUAUAGAUGGGAUGAAGACAGCCAUGUGGAUGGAAAGUGGUUGGCGUGGUUAGUGGCAUGGUGGUAUGGACAGGAGUCUGGAGCUAUUGUGGGAGUGUGGAUUUUAUUUGAGGUGUAGGGCCAGUGCAGAUGGGAUUGUAUUAGUUUUUAAAAAUAUAACAAAUUCUGCUGAGUAUGGUAGCACAUGUGUUAAUUCCAACACUUGACAGACUGGAAGGAGGAGGAUCACCAUAAGUCUGAGGCCAGCCUAGUUUACCUAGUGAGUUUAAGGCCAGCUUGGACUAUACAUUGAGAUCUUAUCUCAAAAAACCAAAAGUCAGUAAAUUAAAGAAACACAUUUUACAAUCAACCAUCUGUGAGUGUAGUGCUAGAGAUGGACCCUAGGGCCUCACACAUGCUAGGUAGUGCUCUACCACUGAGCUAUAUUCCUAGCCUCUGUGUGUGUGUAUAUAUAUAUAUUUUUUUUUUUUUGUACCUUCGAUUGAACUCGACUUUGAGCUUGCCAGGCAGGCGCUUACACCACUGAACUAAAUUCCCAGCCCCCUAGCCUGUUAAAUUUUUUUAAAAAUUAAUUUAUUUAUUGGUACCAGGGAUCAAACUCAUGACCCCGCAUUUUCCAAGCAGGCACUAACACAGCUGAACUAAAUCCCCAGCCCUUAUUUUUAAAAAAAUUUUUAAAUUUAUUUAUUUUUAUCUUUUUGAGACAGGGUCUCGCUAUUCUACCACACUCAGUUCAGGCUGGCCUUGAGCUCAGUUUGUAGCCUAGGCUGGUCUUGAACUGGCAAUGAUCCUCCUGCCUCAGCCUCCUGAGUGCUGGAAGUAUAGGCGAGGUAUGUAACACCAUGCCCAGCUCUAACCAAUUACUUUUGGAGACAAGGUCUUGCUGUGUAGUUCAGGUUGGCCUUGAACUGACUGUGGAACCCAGGCUGGUGUUGAGCUCCCAGUGAUCAUCCUGCCUCCGCCUCCUGAGUGCUGGGGUUACAGUGGUGCCCCACUAUGCUCUGCCCCAUUGCCAGCCUUUUAAUAUUUAUUAUCUGUAUUUACUAGGAUGGUGCUGAGACAAUGUCUCUGGUCUUACUGUGUAGUCCAAGCUGGCCUUGAACUCACCAAAUUAGCCCAGGCAGGCUUUGAACUUGGGAUCCUGUCUCAUCCUCCCUUUCCAGUAGCAUGCUCACAAUGCUCUGCAACCUGUCACACCAUCCAUUUGCUUGCAGGCACCUGGCAAGGUGGUCUAUCUGGUAUGGUGGUCUUCCUGGUGCUGCAUCAGCUUGCGCAUCACGUGGGCCGUCCUGUAAGCAGCGGUCACUCCGGUGUGCGGGGCGGACCUAUGGGUAAUUAAGAUUCAAGCUUCUUGGAACUGACAACCCAGUCCGGUGCUUCCUCUUCUGUGAGCUCAGCUUCCCAGGCCUGUUGCUGAGGGUCAUGUACUUGAGAUCUGGCAGUGAUUCGAGCGAGGAAUGGCUGCGCCCCGGACCAGAGACAUGUCUCCCGAGGAUGGGAGUGUGCUUUUUAUCUUUUGACCCAGCAGAAGUGCGUGGGAACUCUAUUGUGUCCCAGUGUGUUCACUGUGGUCUUCCAGAGCUUUUUUUGCUCAGCAUUUGUCUCUGGUGUGGUGGGGUCAGCGACCUCUCAGGUGAGGGCCUUCACCAUGGCCCUCUGGACCUUGUCCUUCCCACUGAUAGAACCUACCAGAGUUGUGUCCUGGUCUGUUUUUUUUGGCGGGGUGCAUUGGGGAUCGAACUCAAGGCAGGUGCUUAUGCAGCUGAGCUAAAUCCCCGAUCCUGGUCUGUUUUACCACAUGGGACUGCUCUUUUGGUUGUGCCACCAAGUUCUCUAUUUAAAUUGAGGGAGCAAGUAGAAAGCUUCCCAGGUGGGAAUGCAUGGGUCAGUCUCGUAAUGAAAAGUGCUCAGAGUCCUCGAAAAUGAUUCCCACAGUGAAACACCCUCACCUACCACCUCCCCUCCACACAGCUAAGGAUUUGCCUUGGGUCAGGGAUGGGCCAUUCUGGGGACCCAGACACUCUAGGUGAGUCUUCUUGACUCUGUGACUACUUUAUUCUACAUGAGCCCUGGAGACCAGAGAAGGCCCUUCUGUGUAUUUUCUAUUGCUGCUGUUAAAAGUAACCACAAACCUGGUGAUUUAAAGUAGAAGUGUGGGACAUGGUAGUGCACAUCUGUAAUCCCAGCACUCAAGAGGCUGAGGCAGGAGGAUCAUUGUGAGUUCGAGGCCAGCCUGGACUACAUUAGAAGACCCUGUCUUUACUAAAAAAAAAGGUGGAUAUGGUGUCACAUCCCAGCACUCCGGAGGCUGAGGCAGGAGGGUCACUUUGGAGUUCAACACCAGCCUGAGUUACAUAGUGUGUUCCAGAACAGCCUGAAUUACAUAGCUUAAAAAAAAAAAGAAAAAAAGAACAGAAGUUAAAAUAGCAGAAGUCAGGCUGGUAUAACGGCAUACUCCUGUAAUCCCAGCACUCAGGAGGCUGAAGCAGGCAGAUUGUUGCAACUUUGAGAAUACUGUGGGUUACAAAGUGAGCCCAAGGCCAGCCUGAAUCACAUAGCAAGACUCUGUCUCAAAAAGAAAAAAAACAGCAGAAGUCCAUGAUUUAUGGUUUUGGAGGUCCAUGUCAUAAAUUAGUCUCAAUAGGCUGAUACCAAGGUGAUGACAGAUCUUCGUUUCUCUCUCAGCAAAGAGAUAGGAAUCUACUUUCUGGUCUGGUCUAUUUCCUAGAGGCUGCUGGCUUCUUCCCUCCCAGUUGAAUCAUUACAACCAUGCCUUUUCCUUUCUUGUUUUCCAUUAUUUGUGAUCCUUGUGUCUAUAUUGCCUACCCCCAUGCCAGAAUCACCCUGGCUACCCUCUCUGUUUUAAGGUCACUUGAAUAGCAACUUUUUCAUAGAGGAAUGGUGGCAAACCUAUGGCACACAUGCUGUCAGCACAGGAACCAAGUCAUUUCAGCAGCCAAGUCUCAGAUAACAGUUUUUUCUAAAAAUCAGGUUUAAUUUAGUGUUGGCACUUUGUGAUGAGUAAGUUUUGAAUUACAGUUUGGACAUCCUGUUUUUAAAAGGUUUGUCAUCCCUGUUAUAGAGCAUCACCGGUAGGGCGAAUUAAACAGUGGAUAUGUUUGGUGAGGCUAUUACUUUUUUUUUUUUUGUCUUUUUUCAUUUUUAUCAGUACCGGGGAUCAAACUCAUCACCCCCUGCUUACAAGGCAGGUGCUUAUGCCGCUGAGCUAAAUCCCCAGCCCCUGGGCUGUUAUUCUUAACUUGAAUGUCUUACCAAGACCCAGAGAAGAGUGCUCCUUUUAGGACUUAAGCAAGGAGGGGCUGGGGAUUUAGCUUAGUAGCAUAAGCGCCUGCCUUACAAGCAUGCAGUUGUGAGUUUGAUCCCUGGUACCAAUAUAAAAAAAAAAGUAAAAGAAGUAUAUAUUGCAUUUUUAUCUUCAGUGGGUUAAAGUUCCUGUUUUCCUACAUUCUUACUAACAUUGAAUGUUUUCAACCUUUGAGAUUUUAACUAAUUUUUUUCUCAACCCACUUUAUAACUGGGAAGUUGAGGUUUGAGGAAGGUAGGUUAAGCUUGUAUAAGAUAUCAUGCAACUUUCUGCUUCCUGACUCUCAGAUUUCUCACUUAGCGCUGUUUUUAGGGGUGGGAGGAUGUUAGUUCACUCAUGUGGCUUGGAAAUCACUGGGUCACUUUGUCAUCUCUCAUCCAUCUAUGCAUUGGCAGCUAUGAGCAAAUACAUGUUGGGAGCUGUGAGUAUAGUAUCCAAGGACCAGGGGGUGGAGGCUGGGGUGUUUGAGAAUCCCUCUCCUUUCAUCUGUCCAUAUCCUCACUGGUCUUCAUGCCUACCUAUUUACCCUGGUGACCCCUUCUCUAGACCCUAGUUAGAUACUGCUGGAGAGUCUAUAUUACAAAAUAACUGGCUUCACCGCCUGACAAGCCCUUUGUUGGCUUCAUAAUUCAGUGUCCAUUUUGGAUUACCCCUCUGUUCUUGUUUCUCCCAUCUCUGCCUAUAUGCUGCCUACUAGGCAUGAAUCCUGACCUGCCCUUGGCUAGCCAUGUUAGCCAGUCUUGAAGCUAGUCCUCAUGAUGCUACUCCUGCUGAUGGAUAUGGCAGAUGUAAUGGUUUACUUUUUUUUUUAUUGUGUAGUUUUUAGUAUAUGUUUGCUAUACAUAAUGAUUGCAUUUAUUGUGGUAAGUUUGUACGUGUACAUAACACAUUUUAAUUUUUUGUCCCCUCCUUUAAUUCUUCCCUGCUCCCUCCAACUCUUGAUCCCUUCCCGAUUUUAAAUAGCUCUGUUUUGAUUUUUUGCUGAUUGUCUCCCGUUUUCAUUUUUCAGACAAGGUCUCCCUGUGUAGUUCAGGCUGGCCUUGAACUCACUAUAUAACCCAGGCUAGCCUGGAACUCACAGCAAUCCUUUUGCUCCAGCCUCCAGAGUUCUGGGAUUGCAAGUGUGCACCACCAUACUUGGUUUUAAUUCUUUUUUAAAAUCCUCUUCUCCUCCAUCUCUUGUUCCCCUUCUUGUCUAAAAAAAGUGGCUAGGUGUGGUGGCACAUUCCUGUAAUUCCAGCCCUCAGGAGGCUGAGGCAGGAUGCUUGUCUUCACUAUAUAGCAAGACCCUGUCUCAAAAAAAUAAAAUAAAAUAAAAAGAUAAUCUCCCUAUUUCCUAUUACCUAUCCUUUAUUUUUGUUCUUUAUAUUUUGGGGUUUGCAUACAGGGAAAUUCAUGUGAUAUUUAAAUUUGUGUGUCAAAUUUAUUUCAUUUAAUGUCUUGGUCUCCAGGUACAUGGUUUAUCUCUCCUGAAGUUAGGUUAUAGAAGGCACCAUGAGUGGUUGGGAUGUGGUUCAGUGGUAGAAUUCUUGCCUCGCACACCCAUGACCCUGGGUUUGAUCUUCACUACCACAAAAAAUUAAAAAUAAAAAAAGAAUUUCCACAUAGUUCUUCUUUUGGCUGGGGGUGGUGCAUACACCUCAGGAUGAUCACCACCAGUUUGAGGCCAACUUGGGCUACAUAAGCAAGUUUGAGGUAAGCCUGAACUACAGAGUGAGACUUUGUCUCAAAUAAAUAGACAUCAUGGCUUCCAGGUUUGUGUGAUCUGUUUUCCCUCUGGUCACUUGCUGUGGUGAGAGCUGGUUGCUGCUCCAUUGCUCUGGGAAUUGCUUUUUGGAAGUAGCAUCUCCCACCCCACCCAAGCCUUCAGAUGUUUUAGCCCUGAGGAAGCCUGAACCAGACUACCCAAUCUGGCCCCUACUUGGUUCCUGACUCGCAGAAAUCAUGAGAUAAUGUGUGUCUGCUGUUUGGGGGCAAUUUGUUACAGAGCAAUGGGAAUAGAAUACUUUGCUGGUGCAUGAAGUCAUGGAAGUGACAUAUGCCUAUCGUCAGUGCACAAAGUUUCCUGUUUCCUAUAAGAGAUAGGACAUGCCUCAUAUAGCCCGUGCUCUGUGCAUGCCAGGGGUCUCCCACUCCUUUUUCCCCUCCAUUGCUCUGCAAUGCUUGGCCAACCCACUGCAUCGUUGGCUAUAUGCCACCUUUCAACCACAGACGGACUGUAGGCCAGGAAGGAAGAGAGAAAAACGAGGGAACAGAGCCUCUCCUUUCAGCGUGGGAGCCAGACCAUGUGAGACAUCUCUCCCAAAGUCUUGUUGGCCUGGGAGGUGCAGCCAGACCCAUGCCCUUCCUGGCCAGGCCUGGGUCUCUCCUGCUGGCUGCCGUCGGACUCCUAGAAGCCUAAAAGCUGACCUUCCUCAUUCCCCUGUGCUUUUCCUAUUCUCCCUCUGCUGCCAACUUACCACCUUCCCUGAGACUGUUGGCAGCAUGUUCACCCACUGCUCUAUGUGCUUCCCUGAACAGUAUACAGUCUCCAAAAGUUUCUUCUCUCUCCUUUUCCGUUUCUCUGGGAAUUCCUCAAGAACUGCAAAUUGGUACAGUAAUUUAGAUUCUUACACAAGUGAGAGAUCCUUAAAAUUUCUAGGGAGAAGAUAAUGCUAUUUAUUUGUAUGUUUAUUUUUUGAAACAGGGUCUUGCUAUGUAGUUCAGAUCACCUUUGAACUCUCUACUGAGCCCAGGCUGGCUUUGAACUCGUAGUGAUCUUCCUACUUCAGCCUUCUGCCUGAGUUCUGAUAUUAUAAGGCAUUUGCUACUAUGCCUGGCUAUCUGGUAUAUGUGUGUGUAUGUGUCACAUUUACCCAAUCAUGAGCAUAGAUUGGAUUUUAAGUUUGUUUAGUCUUUUUUUUUUUUUUUCAUAGUACCAGUGAUUGAACCCCGGAUCUCCUGCAUAUGAGGCAAGCACUCUACCACUCAAUUAUAUCCUCACCAACUCCUCUUUUUAUUAAUUUUUAUUUGCAUUGAUUUUUUUUCCUGGUACUGGGGGCCAAACUCAUGAUGUCACAGUUGCCGGGCAGGGGUUUAUGCUGCUGAAAUAAAUCCCCAGCCCCUGCAUCAAUGUUUUAAAAGCCCAAGUAGUCUGGAUGUGGUACUGUGCACCUGCAAUCCCAGUUGCUCUGGAGGAUCACAGGUACAAGUAGUAUUUGAGGAAAGGAUCACAUAUUCAAAGCCAUACUGGGUGUAGUGGCAUAGGCCUAUAAACCCAGUACUCAGGAGAUCAAUACAAUUUCUAGGCCAACUGGACUACAUAGUGAGACCCUCUCAAAGCAAAACAAAACAAGUUCAAGGCCAGCCUAGGUAACUUAGCAACGUCCUGUCUAAAAAUAAAAAGUAGGGAUAUAGCUCAAUAUAAAGGCCUUGGAUUCAAUCCUGUGGUGGGGGGGAGAGUACAAGAAUGAGUAGAUUUUAAAAAGCAUAUAAUGAAAAGUAGCCGUUGGCUGAUUUCUCUGAACUCACAUCCUGCUUACUAUGGGUUCAAAUGUUUUUCUUAUCUAUGUCCAUCAUUCUAAAUAUCUUUAUAUCUCUUCAUUUGUGUUGUUAUCUAUUAUCUUUCUAUUGAAGAGAUGAGGAUUCGGCUGUCAGACACUCAGACAUACCCAAAUCCCUGUCGCUUGUCCAGGCAGAGUAUACUGAUUACUCGUUGAAUCAAAGUACUUGAUCAUAACUGUAAAUGGCACUCAGCAGAAAGGAAUAAAAGGAGGUAUGGACUGUGAUUGUGCUUGCUUUUUGUAGAGCUGUUUUUCUGGAGUUUUUGUUUGUCAGCUUCUCAGUUUAGCUUUCCGUGUGGUGAGAGUCUAUCAUUUUUUUCUGCAUUUUUAUGGAAUUUGCUGGAAGGUUGCUCUGCUUGUUUCUGGAUGCUCCUUGUAGCUGCUGCUUAGCCUGAGUUCUCACCAUCCAUUUAAACUUAUGUCACCUUCCUGGGCACUCUUGUGACCUAAUUUUCUUUCUGACCCACAGCAUUUACUAUCUUCUAAUAUGCCAUAAGGUUUUUUUUUUUUUUUUUUGGACUAGGGAUCGAACUCAUGACCUUGUGUCUGCCAAGCAGGCACUUAUGCCACUGAGCUAAACCUUGCCAUGAGGUUUAUUUAUUUAUUGUGCUUGUUCACUUUCUUCUACCCCUGCCAGUGUACUGACACUUCACAAGCUCAGAGGUUUUUGUCUUGUGCACUGUGAAUUACCAGUGCACAGUGCAGGGCUUGGCACAGAGGAGGGGCUCAAUGAAUAUUGGUUGAAUGGACAAAUCCUGGGACUUCUCUAUACUCCUGUGAAGUCUUUCCUGCUUCCUGUUUCCAGAUCUCAUGUCCUCUGUUUGGUUUACUUUCUUAUUUGAUAGAGCAUAUUCUUCAAUAACUUUCUGGGAACAAUAUGUAAAAGAUAUGUAGUAUCUAUAGCUAUGUAUAUAUUCAAUGUCCAAUAUUUAGUGUACUAGUUGGCAAAUUGAUUCACAUGUUAGAUGGUAAUGAAUAUUGAGUAUCUUUCUCAAAAGUUUGUAAUGAGAAAUUAAGUCAAAUAAAAUGGUUAGCAAUCUCUAA